GCUGUUUCAAUAUGGUCUGUUUGAUGAAAUACACAUUGAGAUUCAUAAAGAGCAGCUAAGCCUAGAAAGAUAAUGGAGGCAUAACCACCCACAUAUUCAAAGGGAUUCAAAUUCACGCUACAAGUUCAUCAUGUGAAAAUCCUUAAAAAAAAGUCCUUCAGUUGUAGAUUCCAUGGUCUCCCAGUCAUGAAAACAUAAUUAAUUUGACAAUCAAAGUUAAUCCAGCAAAGACAGUGAGCAGGAUUGUACAAGGAAAGAGUGGAAUCACAGAACUCCCAUCAGGAAAAUAAACCCAGAACAUUUAGUGUACCGAUGUGGAAUCUGUGGCAUAGACAAGUGAAGAAUUUCUUCUAUAUUCAUUUGGAGAAAAGAGAUGUGAUUACCAAGCUUAAGUGUGCUGUAUAUUAAAUGAAAAUUCUGAUCAUAAAGAAAGUCCCCAAACUCAGGAGUAUGAAGGAUGUUCAGAAAGCCAACAAGGAAAAUCGACCACUCAAAAAUAGUACAGAUAUGCAGAUGGAAAGGAACAAAAGUCAUUAUGAUUGUGGUAACCAAGACACAGAACACAAAUAUGAUGUCCGGACCCUACUGCCGAAGACAAGACCUAUAGAACUUGCUGAAAAUGGAGGAGUGUCUUCUUUGCUCAGCCAUCAUGAGAGAAGCUUCCUCCUGAAGCAGAUGGCAAAUGGCCAAUAUCAGAUAUUAUGCAGCUAGUGAGAGCCUUUGGACCAUUCAGCCCAAAACAAGAUGAUUCCAUCAAGCCCUUUCCCUCAGUUCUCAGAGAACUCUUGGAAGAGGUAGCAGAAAGAGUAUAAGAUCCACACGUGAUGGAGGAAACAUGAUCUUCUAAACACACCAGGACUUAUGCACAUAAGAACUCACAGACUAAGACAACAUGAACAGAGCCUGCAAGGGUUUGCAGCAGGUCUGGGACUACAAGUGUUCACCACUACAGCUGUCUUUUAUGUGGGAGUUGGAAAUUGAGCUCAAGCCCUUAUGUCUGCGCAUCAGGAACUUUGCCCAGAGAGCUGUGUCCCUACCCCUAUACAACAUGAUUUCUUUAUAUUUAUUGCCCAAGGAAAUAUUUUCAACUAGUUCCUAGAAUUCAUCAAUGGCUAAAGAAACCUGUGUUAAUUGUAA
Mus musculus (house mouse) is the source of this 1137-nucleotide long non-coding RNA. RefSeq annotates it as predicted gene, 36406. The transcript is spliced from 9 exons. NCBI's taxonomy places the organism in Eukaryota, Metazoa, Chordata, Mammalia, Rodentia, Muridae. The record is from RefSeq and is marked validated.